UACGUAGGGUGCAAGCGUUGUCCGGAAUUAUUGGGCGUAAAGAGCUCGUAGGCGGUCUGUCGCGUCGGAUGUGAAAAUCAAGGGCUCAACCCCUGGACCUGCAUUCGAUACGGGCAGACUAGAGUUCGGCAGGGGGAGACUGGAAUUCCUGGUGUAGCGGUGAAAUGCGCAGAUAUCAGGAGGAACACCGGUGGCGAAGGCGGGUCUCUGGGCCGAUACUGACGCUGAGAAGCGAAAGCAUGGGGAGCGAACAGG
RNAcentral lists this ribosomal RNA (255 nucleotides) under uncultured bacterium. RNAcentral's name for it is "partial 16S ribosomal RNA". It matches the Rfam family "Bacterial small subunit ribosomal RNA", at positions 524 to 776 of the family's 1533-position model. The record is from RNAcentral.